RNAcentral lists this ribosomal RNA (726 nucleotides) under uncultured eukaryote. RNAcentral describes it as "SSU rRNA". It matches the Rfam family "Eukaryotic small subunit ribosomal RNA", at positions 557 to 1295 of the family's 1831-position model. The record is from RNAcentral.
UAGUCUGGUGCCAGCAGCCGCGGUAAUACCAGCUCCAAUAGCAUAUAUUAGUGUUGUUGCGGUUAAAACGUCCGUAGUCGAAUUAAAGGCUCGUAACGCGUCUGACGCUAGGAGUUACUGGGGUGACCAUCCCCAAGGGGUAGCUUGUGUAGCCCUGCGGAGAUAUCGCCCCAUGUUACCUUGACGAAAUUGUGGUGUUCAUAGCAAGUACGGAGUACUCUAGGCACAAUAGCAUGGAAUAACAACGCAAGGACUCCGACCCGGAUUGCGCUAGCGCUCGGGAUCGGAGGAAGGAUUAAUAGGAGCAGUCGGGGGCGGUCGUAUUCCAUUGCUAGAGGUGAAAUUCGGUGACCAAUGGAGGACGAACAACAGCGAAAGCAUCCGUCCAGUAUGUUUUCAUUGAUCAGUGGACGAAAGCUAGGGGAGCGAACACGAUUAGGCACCGUGUGUAGUCCUAGCCGUAAACGAUACCGACUAGGGGUUGGUGGACGUUCUUCUCGAUAGCUCCAUCAGCACCUUAUGAGAAAUCACAAGCUUUCGGGUUCCGGGGGGAGUACGGUCGCAAGGCUGAAACUUAAAGGAAUUGGCGGAAGGGCACCACAAGGCGUGGAGCUUGCGGCUUAAUUUGACUCAACGCAGGAAAACUUACCAGGUCUGUACAUAGGGAGGAUUGACAGAUUGAUAGCUCUUUCUUGAUUCUAUGGGAGGUGGUGCAUGGCCGUUCUU